RNAcentral lists this ribosomal RNA (377 nucleotides) under uncultured eukaryote. Its description in RNAcentral is "partial 18S ribosomal RNA". It matches the Rfam family "Eukaryotic small subunit ribosomal RNA", at positions 592 to 976 of the family's 1831-position model. The record is from RNAcentral.
CAAUAGCGUAUAUUUAAGUUGCUGCAGUUAAAAAGCUCGUAGUUGGAUUUCGGGUGGGAAUGGCCGGUCCGCCGUUUCGGUGUGCACUUGCUACGCCCACCUUGCUGCCGGGGACGUGCUCUUGAGUUCACGCUCGGGACACGGAGUCGGCGAGGUUACUUUGAGUAAAUUAGAGUGUUCAAAGCAGGCCUACGCUCCGAAUACAUUAGCAUGGAAUAACACGAUAGGACUCUGGCCUAUCUUGUUGGUCUGUAGGACCGGAGUAAUGAUUAAGAGGGACAGUCGGGGGCAUUUGUAUUUCAUUGUCAGAGGUGAAAUUCUUGGAUUUAUGAAAGACGAACUACUGCGAAAGCAUUUGCCAAGGAUGUUUUCAUUAA